Molecule: small RNA, 840 nt
Filed under: Rattus norvegicus (Norway rat)
Lineage: Eukaryota; Metazoa; Chordata; Mammalia; Rodentia; Muridae
Description: uncharacterized LOC102546573
Source: RNAcentral
AUCAGGAAGCACAGUGAUAGACAAGCCCACAUAGAAGAGUAAAUAUCAGGAUUGUGCAAAAACCAGGUGAGAAAAAUAAUACAUUCAGAUAUUAAUAAGAUGGAAAAGAGGAAUGUGACCAAUAUGUUAACCAGUUGUGGGAUAUAGUCAAGACAUUCAACCUGAGAACUCACAGGGCAGAAAAGGGAGUUGAGAUAAAUCACGAGGGAUAAAUAGAACAUUUGAUGAAAUUAUAGCAGAAGAUUUUGCAAAUCUGAGAAUGGAUUAGACAUCCCAACACAAGAAUAAAAGACAUUUAGAAUCUCAAACAGACAUGAACAUGAACAGACCCCAAAGGUGUCUUAGGUAAGAUUCCAAAAAAUUCAAAGGAAAGAAAUAAUACUAAAAAUCAUAUAAGAAAACUGAGGAGUCAUGUACAAAGGCAAGGUUAUCAAAAUAACAUCCGACAUUCCAUCAGCAACCUUAGAAGCUAGACUAACAUUAUGACAUAUUUCAGGUUCUAACUUGAAAAGCUGUGAACAAAGAUUUCUCCACACAGCAAAGCUAUCUUUCAAGAUUGAUGGAGAAAUAAAAGUUAUUUUAAGACACAUGUGAAUUAAAGUAAUUCAUGGCCACUACUCUGGAAAAUUCUCAAAGGAAUGCCACACAGUAGGAACAGGGUAAACAACUUUCUACAUGGGAAGAAUCCAUCCAGGCAUCAUUAGUCAAGAACAUGUUCUUCUUUGGCAGAGAAUACAGAUUCAAUAUCCAGAAAAGUGACAAAAUCAAACCUCACAGGUCUAUUCUGUUGAAAGAAUGGAAGGAUUAAACUGCCUGACAGGUUCUCACUGUGUAACCCAG